AGCGACUUGUACUGUGAAACUGCGAAUGGCUCAUUAAAUCAGUUAUGGUUUCUUUGAUGGUACCUUGCUACUUGGAUACCCGUAGUAAUUCUAGAGCUAAUACAUGCAGGAGUGCCCGACUUCGGAAGGGCUGUAUUUAUUAGAUAAGAAACCUUCUCGGGUUCGCCCGGUUGUGUGCUGAGUCAUAAUAACUGCUCGAAUCGCACGGCUCUACGCCGGCGAUGGUUCAUUCAAAUUUCUGCCCUAUCAGCUUUCGAUGGUAGGAUAGAGGCCUACCAUGGCGUUAACGGGUAACGGAGAAUUAGGGUUCGAUCCCGGAGAGGGAGCCUGAGAAAUGGCUACCACAUCCAAGGAAGGCAGCAGGCGCGUAAAUUGCCCGAAUCCUGACACAGGGAGGUAGUGACAAGAAAUAACGAUACAGGGCUACAUCUAGUCUUGUAAUUGGAAUGAGUACAAUUUACAUCUCUUAACGAUGAUCAAUUGGAGGGCAAGUCUGGUGCCAGCAGCCGCGGUAAUUCCAGCUCCAAUAGCGUAUAUUAAAGUUGUUGCAGUUAGAACGCUCGUAGUCGGAUUUCGGGGCGUUCCGACCGGUCUGCCGAUGGGUAUGCACUGGCCGGAGUGUCCUUUUUGCCGGAAACCGUGCCUACUCUUAACUGAGCGGGGGCGGGAGACGGCACUUUUACUUU
RNAcentral lists this ribosomal RNA (686 nucleotides) under uncultured marine Phaeocystales. RNAcentral describes it as "SSU rRNA". It matches the Rfam family "Eukaryotic small subunit ribosomal RNA", at positions 68 to 758 of the family's 1831-position model. The record is from RNAcentral. Lineage: Eukaryota; Haptophyta; Phaeocystales.